Molecule: transfer RNA, 96 nt
Filed under: Nostoc sp. PCC 7524
Lineage: Bacteria; Bacillati; Cyanobacteriota; Cyanophyceae; Nostocales; Nostocaceae
Rfam family: tRNA
About the family: Transfer RNA (tRNA) molecules are approximately 80 nucleotides in length. Their secondary structure includes four short double-helical elements and three loops (D, anti-codon, and T loops).
Source: Rfam by way of RNAcentral
AGCCCUGUAACUCAGUUGGGAGAGUGCCUCUCUUACAAAGAGGAAGUCGCGGGUACCCUUCGGGAACGCUUGCGCGAACAAUUCCUGCUGGGGCUA